This is a long non-coding RNA of Camelus dromedarius (Arabian camel), 4113 nucleotides long. RefSeq lists it as uncharacterized. The record is from RefSeq and is a predicted model, not a curated record. Lineage: Eukaryota; Metazoa; Chordata; Mammalia; Artiodactyla; Camelidae. The transcript has 2 exons.
UGGUGGCCGCCACCAGGGACAGUAGAGAGCCCGGGGUGGGAGGCGUGCUCGGUAGAGAAUCACGGCCGUCGGAAAACGAAGAUGGUCGCUUCAGCCACGGGCCUCGUUAGUAUUCCUCUGCCUCUGCUCACGGUAAGUACUAAACUAAUCAUUAACUCACUUAGCCAUAGCUUCUGUCAUUUGAAAUUGACCCUUAAGUUUCUGGAUCUUACCCUAAAGACAAAUUAUUUUGUAUAAUACCGAAAUAAAGAAUGGGUUCUCUCCCUGCAGACUAAAUUCCUUUCAUUUCAGACUCACAGAGGGAAUUCUAACGGUAGAAUUGGCCAAAAGCUGUUUGUGUGUGGGCAGGUAAUUUGCCGCAGGCAAAACAACAAUGCUAGCUAAUACUUCAGAGCACUCACUAUGUUGCAUUCAUGACUUGAGUACUUCGAGCGUAUUACUUUGAUCAAUCCUCACCACCUCACCGUGAUGCGCACUGCCCCCACCCCCAUUUUACAGAUGAGGAAACAAGCAUUGAGAGAUUAUGGAAUUUGCCCAAGUUCACACAGCUAGUAAACUGGUGGAGUCAGGGUUUGAACCCGGUCUGUAAAGCCUGUGCUUUUACCACUAAGUUAUCCUGCACCAUGUAUAUAUAUAUAUAAAUUGAUCUGAUAUAUAUGGAUUUUGGGUUUGGGACGGUCAAGGGGGAAGAAGGUUUUUGUGUGUUUGCUUGGGUGGUUAGGGAAGAAACUAGGGGAUGAAUGAUGGAUACCUAUUUCACUGUUUUCGAGCCACUUUAUGGCAGGAAGAGUGAGGAUGAGAGGCAGCGGGAGCUGAUUUGUGAAAGGCUGUGAGGCUCUGGGCUCUAGCAGGGCUGCCUUGGGUCUCAGACCAGUUGCCAACCAGUGUGCAGUGAGGGCCAUAUAUCACAGCUCGAGAGUGGCCACUGUGCUGUAGGCCACCGUGUAGCUCUCACAUCUGACAGCACUUAAUGGAACAGCAGCAGGCUCACAGGUGGGGGUGUCAUGAACUGCUGGGCAGUGGCCAAGAGGUGGGGGCAAAAUGCAGUGAAAGGUCUUGUGCCUGAGCACAUGUCAGGUGCAUCGUCUAGACAACCCAGACAUAACUGGGAAAGACUUCGAAGAGUGCAUCAGAAUUCCUGAAUGAGCAGGCUAGGGCUCAGAGCUGUGGAAGUGCUAAUGUUAUUGUGACUUCAUUUGUACUCACUGCUGGUGAGGUCUAGGACAUUUCAGUUUUACAUUAUUCAAGGCUGGUGUAGACCUGUAUUUAUUACACGGGAAGAGCCACACAGUCUAGUGAUAAGUGAUAGAAGAAGACCACAAGCUGACCAGGCAGGAGUCCCCAGGUCUGUUCAGGGACCUCGGCUCUGAGUGCAAAGGGGAAAUCUGGUCAGCUGGCCUGCUGUGCUCAGGCGGUCAGCUCACUGAGUUCCAUUCACUGAUAGGAUUUAAGACAUGGUAUUAAAACCCACAUUAAUAGAAAACAGAGUCUUUGGAAUAUCAAGGUUAAUUUCUUAUCCUAGAAAGGAAUCUUUGAUUUAUUAAUAAGAGCGUGAAGGACAGUAGGUAUAUCCCAAGCGAUCGGCUGCUUACAUCGGGAGCAUUUGCACCUGGGAUACAAAAGGAAGUUCACCUGUGGGGCAGGCACUCUUAGUGGCCACUCCCUCAGCUGUCCUUCCUCCAUCUUGCACACAGAACAGAGCUACUGGGCAGCUGUGUGCUUCUGGAAGGCAAGCCCCUGCCCUGCCCUACCCUAAGGGGUGAAUCUUGAUUAGUCUGCACCAGACCAGAUAGGAGAAAUCUUUUCCCUUUGCCAGGAAUUGUUUUAGGAAAGGGUCUACGGAGCAAUUCUGCCAAGUUUGGGAAGGUUUUCUUGUUUUUAAAAACAAUAGCCUCUCUUCUGGCUUUGGGACAUCAUGAAGUGAUGCUGGAGACUGCCACAGCCACCUUGCCUCCGUGCAGCCUGAUUCCAGGCAAGAGCCAAAGGUUUGCAGUGGCAGGACGAAGAAAAUACCAUGCGUCCUUGAAGAGGCUUUUGAACUUCUAGAGUAACCAGUCCUGAAGCCCACCCCUCCACCCCCUUCAAACCUUUUGUUUGAUUGAAACAUGUAUUUUUACAUUUUAAUAUUUCUGAAUGUGGGAGGCAUCUUUUGAACAAUGGUAUGUUAGUUUCAGUGAAGUACAGGAUGUGACAUUGUAAAAGGAAGUCUUACUGUUUAAGCUGUUCUUAAGUUGGGUGUUCUGUUAGAAUCAAAGUCAAUCUAAAUGAUAUGAUCAACAUUCUUCAAAUCUUUUUUUUUUAAUGACUGUUCCCUGGAAGAAUGGGUCACAGCAAAAUAAAGAAAAUGAACCGUCAUCAAAUUACCUUUUUGCAAAAAUAACAGCUAGUCUAUAGUGUUUACUCAGUGCCAGGCACUGCUCUAAACACCUUUUUAAAAAAACCACUUUAUGGUUGGAGAUCUGAUUGACGUACAAAAAGCUGCACAUACAGUGUAGAAACCUUGAUGACUCUGAGCACCUGUGUUUUGCAAGCUCAUUCGACUCUCACGGCAGCCCUAUCAUUAUCCUCCCAUUUUGCAAAGUACUGAAAGGUGAAAGUCAUUAGUAAGUGGAAGCGCUGAGAUCUGGACUGAGACAGUCUAGCUUCCAAACCUAUGGUCUUAACCGCUGUUCUGGGUUUCCUGGAAAAAUACGCUAUGAUGGUGGAACAUGCUUUGCUAACUCCAGUGACUUUAAUUCAUCCAGCUAUAAAACCCAUUAUAAAAGCAUAAAGGAUGUUCUUCCUUCGAUUUCUCAGGACUGUGAAAGAGUGCCACAAAUCCUGUUCAACAGAAAUCUGGGACCACUGAACAUAGCUUUAAAUUCCUGGAGAAAAAGAGACAGAACAACAGGGACCCUAUUUAUUGAGAAUAGAUGACCUUGGGUUGUGGUGGAUUCUUUCCUGUGUUGACCAGUAGCAGCCAUUUCACUAGCCUGCUCUGCAGAUCUGUUGCUUCUCAUAAAAUGAUUGUUUAAUGGGUUUUUUUUUUUAAGUGAAUUUGAAAAUGUAUAAUCCCUUUGACCUCCUCUGCUGUUUCUCGACAAGCUUCUCCUUCCCAGAAACCCCCACCUUCUCACAACUGCUGCAUCACCUUUCCUCAGGCCGUUUGUUCCCUUUGCCUUAACAUUUCCUUUCCCUCGUUCUCUAUUCUGUGUAGCAAAUCCCAGCUCCCACUUCAGUAUCUCCUCAGUGAAGUCUUACCUGAGAUGCUCUAACAGUCUGUCCUCUAGUUCUUUCCUCAGCGUUCCCCCGAUACGCCGGUUUAGCACAUGCUCUGCGACCAGGCGGACCUGGAGUCCUGUCCCAGCUCUGCUGACUCGAGCUGAGUAGCCCCAGGCAGAUGCCUUCACCUGUCUCUAAGCCUCCUUACCUGCAACCGGAGGAGGAGGGGACCCUUCCAAGCCUCGCAGGACAGUGGUAGGGUUGUGCAUGCAAAGCACCUAGCACGGGCCUGGCACGAGGGAAGCUCUCCGUAAAUGGAGCUCUUGUGUGAACAGACAUACUUUUACUGCUCACUGUUUUGUGGUUAUUUGUUUUCAUGUCUGGCUUUUCCACUAGACUGUGAGCAAAACAAGAAUCAAGUCUUCAUUCUUGUGUUUUGUUUUAUGUUUUAACUGUUUAAGUCAUCUUUAUUAAGGUGUAAUUUACAUUCAAUAAAAUGCAUCCAUUUAAAACGUACAGUGCAGUAGUCCAAUAAAUGUAUACAUCUUUGCAGCCACAGUCCCAGCAGGAUAUAGAACAUUUUCAUCACCCAGAGAUCCCCUUCACACCCUUUUACAGUCAGUCUCCAUCCAGCCCUGGCCCCAGGCAACCACUGAUCUAUAGAUUAGUUUUGCCUGUUCUGGAAUUUCAUGUAGACAGAGUCAUACAGUAGGUGCUCCUUUGUGUCUGGCUUCUCUCAAGUACCUGUGUUGUGGCUUUCAUCAGUAGUUUGUUUCCUUUUUAAUUACUGAAUGUUAUUCCAUUGUAUGAAUAUGCCACAAUAUUUUUACCCAUUUGCAUGUUGGUGGACAUUUGGGGGUGUCCGGUUUGGAGCUGUGAUUAAUAAAGCUACUAUGAACAUUUUUGUGCAAA